GGAGGUAUAGCUCAGUUGGUAGAGUGCUUGCCUUGCAUGCACAAGGCCUUGGGUUCAAUUCCCAGCACCACAC
Molecule: transfer RNA, 73 nt
Filed under: Ictidomys tridecemlineatus (thirteen-lined ground squirrel)
Lineage: Eukaryota; Metazoa; Chordata; Mammalia; Rodentia; Sciuridae
Description: Spermophilus tridecemlineatus (thirteen-lined ground squirrel) tRNA
Rfam family: tRNA
About the family: Transfer RNA (tRNA) molecules are approximately 80 nucleotides in length.
Source: Rfam by way of RNAcentral